Molecule: non-coding RNA, 2150 nt
Organism: Cyanistes caeruleus (blue tit)
Lineage: Eukaryota; Metazoa; Chordata; Aves; Passeriformes; Paridae
Source: RefSeq, a predicted model, not a curated record
AACAAUCCCCCCAUGACCCAAUUCCACCUGCCUAAGUUAAUUUCACUCUUUUGAAGAGUCUUGGGUUUGCUUGUCUUCCUGAGGCUGCCUGUUUGUUUCUCCAGGAGGGAAUGGGAAUGCACUGGGCUUAGGCUUUGUGUUUGCUUGUUGCAAUAACAGGCGAUGCAGAGACCCCAGGCAGGUGCAGAGGAGUGCUCUUUAUUGCCAAAACCCCGGCCUUUUUAAGCAGUUAGCUGGUUAUUGGUUUCCAUAGUUUUAAGGAACAACAAGCCCAAAUCAAGCAACCACCAUAUACACCACGAUGUGGACAUGCUGUGGACACGCGGCAGUCACGCAGCACGUCUCUCGCGUUUCUGAUGUCUCUUGCAUCUCUCAGGUUUCUCUACCCCUAUUCCAGCUGAGUCACUCUCCCAUAGUUCCCUUCUACUUAGCCUAAGUAACAGGCCGGAGCCAUGUUAUGAAGCCUUCCUUUUAUAAAACUGUAGCUAUCAGUAACAUCUGCUCUCUGCUACAGAAGAUCCAAAGCUCUCUUGUCAAAACUGGUUUCUUCUUCUUCAUCUCUGGUUUGGUGCAGUAGCAAAGCAGAGUCAAAAGAUAAACCACUGUAUUUCCAGCAUGACUUUCCUCUGUUCUUUGCCAUCACUAAGGCAAAUAUAUUUUAACCUUCGUUGGUUUUCUUUUUCAGUGAUCAACCAGCACCUGCAGGAAUUUCAGAGAAAGCAAGACAACAAUUGAUCUGAAUCUUUUUGAUUCUGCCUGACAUUAUGCUCUAUGUACAGACACCUGGAGCAGGUGACACAGGAGCAUUUCCAGCCCUGGUGCCAUGUGGAAAACCCCAAAGCAUUUGGCUGAUCAGUGUUUGCCUUGAGCUCCUAGCUGAAAGGAGAGGAAGGACAGAUUGCAGCCUACACAUCCUAGGAGGAACCUUUCAAAAAUUAACCUGAGAGCAGCUGGAAAAGGCUAGUCUUACACCUUUUCCUGUGAAUGGGACACAGUCAGGAUCCCCACCGUGCCGGUUUAGCACCCAACACUCUUACACUCUGUGAUGCCAGGCUUUGACCUUGGUAAAGGUUGUGCUGCCUCUCUGCCUGCUGCAGCUGGCUGGCACCUCUGAGAAGGCUGCCACGUCACACCUUGCUGGAGUCGGGGAGAAUGUGAAGCAGAAAUGUGUGUCUGGAAGCUCAGCUGAAACACUGGAAGAGUUGCAAGCUCUGAAAGGCAGGAGCUAUGAAAUGAUUGUAUUCAGCCUAUCUAGGAAGCACUUUACAAAGGAGAAUCCUGGUCAACAUCACAUUUAAAAGAUCAAGUCUCCCUAAUGUGACCUCAUGUCCUACCUGCUUGGCUAUCACAAGGUUCCAGGUAAGGCCUUUGAGGAUUUGAAUUUGGACUCUGAAAUGUCAUGUCAGAAGUCAGCACAGAGCUUUUUUCCUGAAUUGCAGUCACACCAGUUCUGCUUUCCUGACUGCAGAGUCACAGCAGCUGUGGUGCAGCAGAGCAUCUGAAAAGAAAAUGCUAAUGGAGUUUUUUAUAGUGUACAGUAAAAGGCUCUGAUUAAAAAAAUAAUAAUGCUACACCUCAAUGCUACCUCAAACCCAGACUAUUCCUGCUUAAGAGUUUCCUUCUAGAGCCCGUAGCAGUACAGCAGAAUCCAUAACCUCAUGUGCCAUCUCCCUGCCUGUCAUAACCACAGGCAAAGCUGGAUUAGUAAUUUCCCUUAGAGGAAAGCAAAGAAGAUGUAUCUGUGUAAUGGCAUCUCCCCUGUGCCUGAUAACAAGAUCAUAAAGAGUGUGCAAGGCAGUUUUAUGGCAUAUCCUGCCAAUAUGUCAUUGUACAUACAAACAUGUCAAUCAGACACUUUAGAACUAACUGGUUCUGCAAUCAUUUCUCCAUGAGAGUUCAUUAAAAUCCAUACAGGAAUUUGCUCCAGUCAUACAAAUGUCCCCCUCAUGUCAGCUUUCUGUGAGCAUUCAGUUUAUUUAUCACCAACAACCGGUCUAUACACCGGUACACACUAUUUCAGCCUUGGAUGGGUCAGUAUUUCCACAUAUGGAUUCUGGAGUUCAUGGUCAUCCAGCUCAGAACAAGGAAUACGUCACAGACUCAGCUACACCAAAACAAAUGUUUUCCUCAAGAAGAGAGAGAAAUCUGUU